CUCAGGAUGAACGCUAGCGGCAGGCUUAACACAUGCAAGUCGAGGGGCAGCGGGGAGGAAGCUUGCUUUCUCCGCCGGCGACCGGCGCACGGGUGAGUAACACGUAUGCAACCUGCCCCUGUCAGGGGGACAACCCGCCGAAAGGCGGGCUAAACCCGCGUACAUGCCACCGGGGCAUCCCGGAGGCAGGAAAGGCUUCGGCCGGACAGGGAUGGGCAUGCGGCGCAUUAGGCAGUAGGCGGGGUAACGGCCCACCUAACCGACGAUGCGUAGGGGUUCUGAGAGGAAGGUCCCCCACACUGGUACUGAGACACGGACCAGACUCCUACGGGAGGCAGCAGUGAGGAAUAUUGGUCAAUGGUCGGGAGACUGAACCAGCCAAGCCGCGUGAGGGAUGAAGGUACAGAGUAUCGUAAACCUCUUUUGUCAGGGAACAAAGGCGGGGACGUGUCCCCGGAUGAGUGUACCUGAAGAAAAAGCAUCGGCUAACUCCGUGCCAGCAGCCGCGGUAAUACGGAGGAUGCGAGCGUUAUCCGGAUUUAUUGGGUUUAAAGGGUGCGCAGGCGGUCUGUUAAGUCAGCGGUCAAAGCCCGGGGCUCAACCCCGGCCCGCCGUUGAAACUGGCAGUCUCGAGUUGGAGAGAAGUAUGCGGAAUGCGCGGUGUAGCGGUGAAAUGCAUAGAUAUCGCGCAGAACUCCGAUUGCGAAGGCAGCAUGCCGGCUCCACACUGACGCUGAGGCACGAAAGCGUGGGUAUCGAACAGGAUUAGAUACCCUGGUAGUCCACGCAGUAAACGAUGAAUGCUGGCUGUCCGGGGGGGAUUGACCCCUGGGUGGCGAAGCGAAAGCGAUAAGCUUCCACCUGGGGAGUACGCCGGCAACGGUGAAACUCAAAGGAAUUGACGGGCGCCCGCACAAGCGGAGGAACAUGUGGUUUAAUUCGAUGAUACGCGAGGAACCUUACCCGGGCUCAAACGGGGAGUGACUCAGGCAGAGACGCCUGUUUCCCACGGGACACUCCCCGAGGUGCUGCAUGGUUGUCGUCAGCUCGUGCCGUGAGGUGUCAGCUUAAGUGCCAUAACGAGCGCAACCCCCGCGUGCAGUUGCUAACAGAUAACGCUGAGGACUCUGCACGGACUGCCGGCGCAAGCCGCGAGGAAGGCGGGGAUGACGUCAAAUCAGCACGGCCCUUACGUCCGGGGCGACACACGUGUUACAAUGGGUGGUACAGCGGGAAGCCAGGCGGCGACGCCGAGCGGAACCCGAAAUCCACUCUCAGUUCGGAUCGGAGUCUGCAACCCGACUCCGUGAAGCUGGAUUCGCUAGUAAUCGCGCAUCAGCCAUGGCGCGGUGAAUACGUUCCCGGGCCUUGUACACACCGCCCGUCAAGCCAUGGGAGCCGAGGGCGCUUGAAGUGCGUCGCCGCGAGGCGCGCCCUAGAGCGAAAUCGGUGACUGGGGCUAAGUCGUAACAAGGUA
Molecule: ribosomal RNA, 1477 nt
Filed under: uncultured bacterium
Lineage: Bacteria
Description: 16S ribosomal RNA
Rfam family: Bacterial small subunit ribosomal RNA
Source: RNAcentral